GGGCCGGUAGCGCAGCCUGGAGGCAUGCUGGGCUAUAGCGCGUCUGCCUUUUAAGCAGACGGUCACGGGUUCGAAUCCCGUCCGGCCCU
This 89-nucleotide transfer RNA is filed under the name Candidatus Woesearchaeota archaeon. Its description in RNAcentral is "tRNA-Lys". It matches the Rfam family "tRNA". Rfam says of the family: Transfer RNA (tRNA) molecules are approximately 80 nucleotides in length. Their secondary structure includes four short double-helical elements and three loops (D, anti-codon, and T loops). The record is from RNAcentral. Lineage: Archaea; Nanobdellati; Candidatus Woesearchaeota.